Zingiber officinale is the source of this 476-nucleotide long non-coding RNA. RefSeq lists it as uncharacterized. The record is from RefSeq and is a predicted model, not a curated record. The transcript is spliced from 2 exons. Lineage: Eukaryota; Viridiplantae; Streptophyta; Magnoliopsida; Zingiberales; Zingiberaceae.
UCUUCCAUAGAAGCUUUCAUUGUUAGAAUUCACGACACUGAAUCACCGAUCCCUUUUCCCGCCGACCGCGGCGGCGAUGGCAGCGGAGGCGAUGGAAGCUACGGCGAAUUCACUCGUUCUAUCUCUCACGACUACUGCUCCACGGUCAGUUCUCAAACUAUCGACAAUGAUGUUUGGUCUUUGCUUCAUUUGCUAGCUGAGUGCGCCUGGGCGAGUUCGAUAGAAGGAUGGAUCUUUGAGGCGUGUGAUCCACUUUUCCUAGAUUUGCAUCCUGAUCGGUUGUGGCUGUCCGGAGCAGUUCCAGUCGCUGGCCCCCCAUCAGCACGUAGAGCCAGUUCUCUGCUGGUUUGAGUCUUAUUGAUAUUUUGGCUUUUUCCAUAUAGAACGUUGUCUUAUUCUGGUUUUGGAUCUUUAUUUAUGGAAUGUGUAUGGAUUAUUUUUGUUUGAUGAACUCUUGAUGUGAUUUUUGGAUUCUA